UUUGUUUGGUGAACUUUUGUAAUGAACUUCUUUUAAGGAAAUGGAUUUCUUUGUUACCUUAUAUCUCUUUUAAUGAAAUGGACUUAUCUUUUGAUGUUCGUAUUGAAUGACUCUAUCUCGAUUGUAACAUUGUUGAUUGCUUGCAAGGCAAGGGUCCUUGGCCUGAGCCACAUUCUAUGAUCUUGGUAUUCAGGGUUGAUCCAGAGUCAUGUUACUGGUGAUCGGUACAAAGUCGUUUGAUGAAGUUAUUUUUGUUAAGGCAUCAUCUUC
This 270-nucleotide long non-coding RNA is filed under the name Elaeis guineensis (African oil palm). RNAcentral describes it as "long non-coding RNA (EGUI_LNC046427)". Lineage: Eukaryota; Viridiplantae; Streptophyta; Magnoliopsida; Arecales; Arecaceae. The record is from RNAcentral.